GAUCUCAAUCCCAACAACAGCCAUAACAGGAUGCCUGCCAUCCAAAUAUCUACUUGUUUUGAUGGCUCUAUGAUAAAUAGGUUGCACAACAGCUACUGGUGGAAAAAUAAAGAAGAGCGAUAUUAAAUGAGAGUUGUGAGCAUUAUAAGCAGGAGCAUGAUUAGAAGAUGAGCCUGUAGGAAGCAAGAGGUGAAGGUGUGUUGAUUUCUUGAGAGGAAGGAGAUUGUGAGCUUGGAGUCCAAGAUGUUCAUUGCCAACCAAUUCAUUCACAUUACCACUUCUGAGAUAAUCAUGUAGAGAAUUACUCUUAUGUUACUCUGUUCUUUGUAGAAAAAUAUAUUAGAGCACUUUAUUCAUGCUGGAGACUAUCAGAGUAAAGUGCUCUCAACAAGAUCAGUUUAAUCUUAUUGGCCUUUUAUCUGACAGUGGUGGUGUGAAUGGAAUGGGACCCUUUGAGAAUAAGCAAUGUGUGACCCCAAAUGUAAAAAACUACUUUACCUUUUGUUUU
Molecule: long non-coding RNA, 508 nt
Organism: Panicum virgatum (switchgrass)
Lineage: Eukaryota; Viridiplantae; Streptophyta; Magnoliopsida; Poales; Poaceae
Exons: 2
Source: RefSeq, a predicted model, not a curated record